GACGAACGCUGGCGGCGUGCUUAACACAUGCAAGUCGUACGGUAAGGCCCUUUCGGGGGUACACGAGUGGCGAACGGGUGAGUAACACGUGAGUAACCUGCCCACAACUUUGGGAUAACGCUAGGAAACUGGUGCUAAUACUGGAUAUGUGCUCCUGCUGCAUGGUGGGGGUUGGAAAGCUCCGGCGGUUGUGGAUGGACUCGCGGCCUAUCAGCUUGUUGGUGGGGUAGUGGCCUACCAAGGCGGCGACGGGUAGCCGGCCUGUGAGGGUGACCGGCCACAUUGGGACUGAGAUACGGCCCAGACUCCUACGGUAGGCAGCAGUGGGGAAUAUUGCACAAUGGGCGCCAGCCUGAUGCAGCAACGCCGCGUGCGGGAUGACGGCCUUCGGGUUGUAAACCGCUUUCAGCAGGGACGAAGCUUUUUGUGACGGUACCUGCAGAAGAAGCACCGGCUAACUACGUG
Molecule: ribosomal RNA, 465 nt
Filed under: uncultured bacterium
Lineage: Bacteria
Description: partial 16S ribosomal RNA
Rfam family: Bacterial small subunit ribosomal RNA
Source: RNAcentral